RNAcentral lists this ribosomal RNA (1500 nucleotides) under uncultured Planctomyces sp. RNAcentral's name for it is "bacterial SSU rRNA". It matches the Rfam family "Bacterial small subunit ribosomal RNA". Lineage: Bacteria; Pseudomonadati; Planctomycetota; Planctomycetia; Planctomycetales; Planctomycetaceae. The record is from RNAcentral.
AGAGUUUGAUCCUGGCUCAGAAUGAACGUUGGCGGCGUGGAUUAGGCAUGCAAGUCGAGGGAGAACCCGCAAGGGGGACACCGGCGAACGGGGUAGGAAUACGUAGGUAACGUACCCUCAGGACGGGGAUAGCCACGGGAAACUGUGGGUAAUACCCGAUGAUCUGGUCUGGUUUAAUUAUCGGAUCAGCAAAGGUGAGAUUCCACCUGAGGAGCGGCUUACGCGAUAUUAGCUUGUUGGCGAGGUAACGGCUCACCAAGGCUGCGAUAUCUAGGGGGUGUGAGAGCAUGGCCCCCACCACUGGGACUGAGAUACUGCCCAGACACCUACGGGUGGCUGCAGUCGAGAAUCUUCGGCAAUGGGCGAAAGCCUGACCGAGCGACGCCGCGUGCGGGACGAAGGCCUUCGGGUUGUAAACCGCUGUCGGGAGGGAUGAAGUGCACGGGGGCUAUCCCCUGUGUUUGACAGAGCUCCGGAGGAAGCACGGGCUAAGUUCGUGCCAGCAGCCGCGGUAAUACGAACUGUGCGAACGUUAUUCGGAAUCACUGGGCUUAAAGGGUGCGUAGGCGGCGCUGUAAGUCAGGUGUGAAAUCCCCCGGCUCAACCGGGGAAUGGCGCUUGAAACUGCAGUGCUUGAGUGAGGUAGGGGUGCAUGGAACUUCCGGUGGAGCGGUGAAAUGUGUAGAUAUCGGAAGGAACGCCGGCGGCGAAAGCGGUGCACUGGGCCUUGUCUGACGCUGAGGCACGAAAGCUAGGGUAGCGAACGGGAUUAGAUACCCCGGUAGUCCUAGCCGUAAACACUGAGCACUGGAGCGAAGGGGUUUCGGCCUUUCCGCUCGCAGCGAAAGCGUUAAGUGCUCCGCCUGGGGAGUAUGGUCGCAAGGCUGAAACUCAAAGAAAUUGACGGGGGCUCACACAAGCGGUGGAGCAUGUGGCUUAAUUCGAGGCAACGCGAAGAACCUUAUCCUGGAUUUGACAUGUGCGGAUUAACUCUCUGAAAGGAGAGCCACGCCUUCGGGUGGAACGUGCACAGGUGCUGCAUGGCUGUCGUCAGCUCGUGUCGUGAGAUGUCGCGUUAAGUCGCUAAACGAGCGUAACCCCUAUCCUUAGUUGCCAGCACGUUAUGGUGGGGACUCUAAGGAGACCGCCGGCGUCAAGCCGGAGGAAGGCGGGGAUGACGUCAAGUCCUCAUGGCCUUUAUGUCCAGGGCUGCACACGUGCUACAAUGGUGCGUACAGAGGGACGCUAAGCCGCGAGGCCAAGCAAAUCCCAAAAAGCGUGCCCCAGUUCGGAUUGCAGGCUGCAACUCGCCUGCAUGAAGCCGGAAUCGUUAGUAAUCGCCGGUCAGCAAUACGGCGGUGAAUGUGUUCCUGAGCCUUGUACACACCGCCCGUCAAGCCACGAAAGCGGGGGGCGCCUAAAGCCGCUCGUCUAACCGCAAGGAGGACGGCGUCCAAGGCGAAACUCGUGAUUGGGACUAAGUCGUAACAAGGUAGCCGU